CGAGAAAUUUUAACCCACCAAGAUCAUCGGGCCCAAAAAUUGCGAGUUUUUCAAGGUGGCGAAACAAUUUCAACGUUGAAUCAAGCGACUCCAUUUUGCCAGCCGGUAUCAUGGAAGUCAAAAUAUAUCGCAUUUCUUCGAAUUCGGUAUCUUUCGAUGUAAACUGGCGAGACAACUCCAGCAUGAAGAGUCUGUACUUCAAAUCUGGAAGCUUUGCGUCGAUUUCAGACAUCGAAUUUAAUAUGUUUUGCUUAUCGUCAAUUUGUGUUACUGCUUUGUUUUGCAAAGAAAAGGUUUUGGGCACAGGGGUCACCCGCGUCAGAACCUUUGAAGUUUUUUUGUGCUGCGUAGAAAUUCCUUUAACCGAGGAAAUUUGGACCAAUUGUACACAAGGAAGUGAAAAUUCACUCACUUGAGCUAUUAUUUAUGCAAAAAUACUUCUAAAAAACGCACGAGCCACAAUAUAUGAAACUCGAUUCAUCGGCACUGGUCGAACAAAAAACAGGCCAUUUCUCACAUUUAAGGAUAUUUUACUAAGUCAACCCCCCCCCCAAAAAAAAAAAAUUAUGCCUUCCAGAAAAUUCCUGAUGAUAGGCAGAUAUGUUUCUGUGAAACACAUGUCUAACUGAAAAAUUAGUGAAGAUUCUUGCCGAUGAUUAUCGUAUUGUAAAAGAACAAUUGUCAAUUACACAAAUAUAUAUACUGACGUCUUCCAGAAAAUUCCUGAUGAUAGGCAGAUAUGUUUCUGUGAAACACAUGUCUAACUGAAAAAUUAGUGAAGAUUCUUGCCGAUGAUUAUCGUAUUGUAAAAGAACAAUUGUCAA
This is a non-coding RNA of Paramuricea clavata, 824 nucleotides long. The record is from the annotation of a GenBank genome assembly. Lineage: Eukaryota; Metazoa; Cnidaria; Anthozoa; Malacalcyonacea; Plexauridae.